AUUGAACGCUGGCGGCAGGCUUAACACAUGCAAGUCGAGCGGGGUGAUGGUGCUUGCACUAUCACUUAGCGGCGGACGGGUGAGUAAUGCUUAGGAAUCUGCCUAUUAGUGGGGGACAACAUCUCGAAAGGGAUGCUAAUACUGCAUACGUCCUACGGGAGAAAGCAGGGGAUCACUUGUGACCUUGCGCUAAUAGAUGAGCCUAAGACGGAUUAGCAAGUUGGUGGGGUAAAGGCCUACCAAGGCGACGAUCUGUAGCGGGUCUGAGAGUAUGAUCCGCCACACUGGGACUGAGACACGGCCCAGACUCCUACGGGAGGCAGCAGUGGGGAAUAUUGGACAAUGGGGGGAACCCUGAUCCAGCCAUGCCGCGUGUGUGAAGAAGGCCUUAUGGUUGUAAAGCACUUUAAGCGAGGAGGAGGCUCUUUUGGUUAAUACCCAAGAUGAGUGGACGUUACUCGCAGAAUAAGCACCGGCUAACUCUGUGCCAGCCGCCGCAGUAA
Molecule: ribosomal RNA, 503 nt
Filed under: uncultured bacterium
Lineage: Bacteria
Description: partial 16S ribosomal RNA
Rfam family: Bacterial small subunit ribosomal RNA
Source: RNAcentral